RNAcentral lists this ribosomal RNA (484 nucleotides) under uncultured bacterium. Its description in RNAcentral is "partial 16S ribosomal RNA". It matches the Rfam family "Bacterial small subunit ribosomal RNA", at positions 30 to 507 of the family's 1533-position model. The record is from RNAcentral.
AUUGAACGCUGGCGGCAGGCCUAACACAUGCAAGUCGAGCGGAUGAAGGGAGCUUGCUCCUGGAUUCAGCGGCGGACGGGUGAGUAAUGCCUAGGAAUCUGCCUGGUAGUGGGGGAUAACGUCUGGAAACGGGCGCUAAUACUGCAUACGUCCUGAGGGAGAAAGUGGGGGAUCUUCGGACCUCACGCUAUCAGAUGAGCCUAGGUCGGACUAGCUAGUUGGUGGGGUAAAGGCCUACCAAGGCGACGAUCCGUAACUGGUCUGAGAGGAUGAUCAGUCACACUAGAACUGAGACACGGUCCAGACUCCUACGGGAGGCAGCAGUGGGGAAUAUUAGACAGUGGGCGAGAGCCUGGUCCAACCAUGCCGCGUGUGUGAAGAAGGUCUUCGGAUUGUAAAGCACUUUAAGUUGGGGGGAAGGGCAGUAAGUUAAUACCUUGCUGUUUUGACGGUACCAACAGAAUAAGCACCGGCUAACUUCGUG